AGAAUCAACGCUGGCGGCGUGCCUAACACAUGCAAGUCGAACGGGAAAGUGGAGCAAUCCAUGAGUAUAGUGGCGACCGGGUGAGUAACACGUGACUAACCUACCCUUGAGUGGGGGAUAACCUCGGGAAACCGGGGCUAAUACCGCAUAACAUCUUCGGGAUGAGAAGCUGAAGAUCAAAGGAGCAAUUCGCUUUCGGAGGGGGUCGCGGCUGAUUAGCUAGUUGGCGGGUAACGCCCACAGGCUUUGAUCGGUA
This 256-nucleotide ribosomal RNA is filed under the name uncultured bacterium. RNAcentral's name for it is "partial small subunit ribosomal RNA". It matches the Rfam family "Bacterial small subunit ribosomal RNA", at positions 26 to 285 of the family's 1533-position model. The record is from RNAcentral.